UUCCCGAAUUUAGAAGAGCUAUAUAAUUUAUUGUAAUAAAUAUUUCUAAUAUGAAAUGAGAUGUUAAUAUAUCUGGUUUUCUAAGAAAAUUUAAUUUUUUUAUAUCCUAGGGGAUGAGCUUUAGGUAGGAUUAGAAGUUUUGUUAUAAUUUAUCUAUUAGAAUGAUUUAUUUAAUUUUUAAUGUAAAAAUGAUUAAAUUAGUAUAAGGUUAAUAAAAGUAAUUCGGCAAAAAUUUUUCACCUGUUUAUUAAAAACAUGUCCUCUAGGAUAUAAUUGGAGGUCGGGCCUGCCCACUGAGGCCGCGGUAUUUUGACCGUGCGAAGGUAGCAUAAUAAUUAGUUUUUUAAUUGAAAGCUGGAAUGAAUGGUUUUAUGAAAAAAUUACUGUCUCUUAUUAAUARAACUUUAUUUUUAAGUUAAAAAGCUUAAAUUUUGUUAAAAGACGAGAAGACCCUAUAGAGUUUUAUUUUGGUUGGGGUGAUUGAAAAAUUUAAUAAACUUUUGAUUAAAAGAUAAAAUUACCUUAGGGAUAACAGCGUAAUCUUUCUUAGAGUUCAAAUCGAAAGAGGGGGUUGCGACCUCGAUGUUGGAUUAAAAUUUAUUUUGGUGUAGGAGCU
Molecule: ribosomal RNA, 616 nt
Filed under: Phymatodes maaki
Lineage: Eukaryota; Metazoa; Arthropoda; Insecta; Coleoptera; Cerambycidae
Description: partial large subunit ribosomal RNA
Rfam family: Archaeal large subunit ribosomal RNA (bases 225-382)
Source: RNAcentral